This 557-nucleotide ribosomal RNA is filed under the name uncultured fungus. Its description in RNAcentral is "SSU rRNA". It matches the Rfam family "Eukaryotic small subunit ribosomal RNA", at positions 586 to 1157 of the family's 1831-position model. The record is from RNAcentral. Lineage: Eukaryota; Fungi.
CAGCUCCAAUAGCGUAUAUUAAAGUUGUUGCGGUUAAAAAGCUCGUAGUUGGACCUUGGGCCUGGACGGGCGGUCCGCCUCACGGCGUGUACUGUCUUGCCGGGCCUUUCCUCUUGGUGAUCUGUUGUUUCGGCAGCAGGGAACCAGGACCUUUACUUUGAAAAAAUUAGAGUGUUCAAAGCAGGCUCGACGCCGGAAUAUAUUAGCAUGGAAUAAUAAAAUAGGACGUGCGGUUCUAUUUUGUUGGUUUUUGGAAUCGCCGUAAUGAUUAAUAGGGACAGUCGGGGGCAUUAGUACUCACAUGCUAGAGGUGAAAUUCUUGGAUUUUGUGAAGACUAACUUCUGCGAAAGCAUUUGCCAAGGAUGUUUUCAUUAAUCAAGAACGAAGGUUAGGAUAUCGAAAACGAUUAGAUACCGUUGUAGUCUUAACAGUAAACUAUGCCGACUAGGGAUCGGUCGAUGUUAUCUUUUUGACUCGAUCGGCACCUUACGAGAAAUCAAAGUUUUUGGGUUCUGGGGGGAGUAUGGUCGCAAGGCUGAAACUUAAAGGAAUUGAC